GAUAAACGCUGGCGGCGUGCAUGAGACAUGCAAGUCGAACGGACGAUCGAGGCUUGCUUCGAUCGUUAGUGGCGGACGGCUGAGUAACGCGUAGGUGACCUGCCCCGAAGUGGGGAUAACUGCCCGAAAGGGUGGCUAAUACCGCAUGUGGUGGUGUGUUCAAUCACACCAGUAAAGCCGCAAGGCGCUUCGGGAGGGGCCUGCGUCCGAUUAGCUCGUUGGUGGGGUAACGGCUCACCAAGGCGACGAUCGGUAGGUGGUCUGGGAGGACGAUCACCCAGACUGGGACUGAGACACGGCCCAGACUCCUACGGGAGGCAGCAGUCGGGAAUUUUGCGCAAUGGACGAAAGUCUGACGCAGCAACGCCGCGUGAGGGAUGACGGCCUGGUGUAACUC
Molecule: ribosomal RNA, 397 nt
Filed under: uncultured bacterium
Lineage: Bacteria
Description: bacterial SSU rRNA
Rfam family: Bacterial small subunit ribosomal RNA
Source: RNAcentral